Non-coding RNA from Pelodiscus sinensis (Chinese soft-shelled turtle), 1346 nucleotides. Lineage: Eukaryota; Metazoa; Chordata; Testudines; Trionychidae. The record is from RefSeq and is a predicted model, not a curated record.
GCUAGUUUAGACCCCGUCACUAGAUCAUUUUUAAAUAUGUUGAAAAGCACUGAUCCCAAUGGUGAAAACAGAAAGAACAGGGCAGCUCCGCAAGCACCAAAAUUCAGUCAAAUGGACUUGCUGCCAAAGAUGAAAAACUAAGGAAGUUGGUAUACUUACUUCUGCAGAGAAAACCAGCUUUUCAUUUCUAAGCCAACCCCCCUCUCCCUUCAUUAUCACCAUGAAAACAUUUAUAAUUGAGGUCUACUGUACCUUGUUGCAAACCCCACAGUGGCUGAACUGUUCAGUCGCAAGGUGUAUUGUGUGCAAAAUGUAACUGUGUGAAAUGCCUAUUAAUAUAAAUACGUCCUCAAGAGUGAAGACAGCAUGAAGCAGACCAGCUCUUAACAGUUCAGCCUUGGGAUUUCCGUUUCAUUCUGGUGAAUUGUGGUCGUACGGGAAACAUUACCAGUAAAUCUCUUCAUUAAAAGUUUCUAUUGCUGUUAAAAACUAUAAUAAUUAGGUUAAAUCAAAACUCUAAUACACAUCGGCUUCUAUUAAAACAGGCACAUAUCCAGUAUUAAAUUCAUUAGUGGUCUUGUUUACUGCCAAAGAAUUCAGACCAGUUUUUCCCUAUAGAGUUGGCACAUAUUAGUCCAUGUUAAAAUGUAAAGGAUAAAGCAUCUCCAAAUAUAUUUUUUUCUUCAGUUGUGACGCCACACAAACAUGUAACCAAACCAAAAUCCAUCAUAUUGUAGGGCAUGGGGAAGGGAGGCAGGAAUUUGAAUCAAACAAUUUAUUUAAAGAGAACCAUUUUAUACUUUUCUAGGAGAUUCUAUUUCAGUUUAGCUAUUGAGUGCAACAUUUUUACCAAUGCCUACAAGAAAGAUACUAUGAGACAACUGUAUUAUCAUAUUAACCCAGCCAUCUAAAAUGCUCAUAGAAGCUAAAGAGACAAGGACCAACUUUGCCUCCCCAAGUGCAGAGAGCAAUCUGCUCCUCCUCCCCACCCAGAAGCAGAUUCCUGCUCACAGCUGGGAAAAUGAAGUUGGCUCAGUUAAAGAUGCUUCUUCACCCACCUUUUCUCUCUGAUAUUCUGGGGCCAAAAUGGCUACAACAACACUACAUACAACAGUGGAGGCUAAGUCAGACAUGAUUCAUUUUCUCCUUAUAUAAAAUAUUGCAAGUGACAGAAACUAAAAGCUACCUACUGGCAGACUGAUGUGGGGAAGGAAAUUUCAGAGGAAUCAUGGGCACAAAUACAGAAUCAUCAUGCUCAAUAUGGAGAACAGGCAAAAUGUUAUUAAUUUCUGUUCCAGUGGGACAUCAUACAUUCUGAUGAGUCUAUAACACUGCUUUGGGGGAUG